This is a long non-coding RNA of Leopardus geoffroyi (Geoffroy's cat), 1531 nucleotides long. RefSeq lists it as uncharacterized. Lineage: Eukaryota; Metazoa; Chordata; Mammalia; Carnivora; Felidae. The transcript has 2 exons. The record is from RefSeq and is a predicted model, not a curated record.
UCUCAUUUCAAAAUCAGGACCUCAGAGAGUGGCCAGGAGCCGCCUGUCUAGUGAGACGCGGAAGGGCGUGGUGGGCACAACUAAGAAAUAUGAAAAGAGAGAGAGAAAAAAAGAACUUGGCGGAGGCUGAAGGCCCUGUAACGGAGAAACUGAUUCUACGGGACCCGAAGUGAGGCAGCCUGAGUUAGGGUGUACAAACGCUGAUCUGGGUACCCCUGAAGCAGGGCCUUUAGAGGUUACUUCGGCUCUGGAAACUGGCCCGUAUUUGAGGAACUGAUGGCUCAAAUCUUAGCGCAUAAGUAGUUAAAUACACAAAGAAGACCUGUCAUGGGAGAGUUGAGUGCGCGGGGCGAGCGAAGUCUUCGGGAGGCGACAGCUGCAGAAGCGGCAUUCGUUGGAAUAUGCAAUUAGGAGGCCCGCUCCAGUCCCACACGCUAUCCUGUUGACGGACAGUACUGCACACCCCCAACUCUUGUCCCUGGGCUGCUGAUCCAUUCUCAAACGUCAGCGGUCCCAUCAGGAUGUUCUCUUUUUUCUGGGAUGUAAUUCAUUUAGGGGAGGACUCAAGUUAAAUACGGGCAAUGUUGCGUACGUUUACUAGAUCACCUCUCCUCACCCGCACGUAAACUUGGGAAGAACAGAGACAGAGCUGUAUCUAUUUUAUCCGUUGUUGUAUCCCUGUCGCCUAGCAGUGCGCAUUUCCCGAAUGAAUGAAUUAAGUAGAGAACAUUUUGCUAGAAUCAUUUUGCCCCCUUCGGAGUUCAGUCCUUAAGCGUUCCACCUUGCCCAGCCUGAAGAAGAUUCUCUGAAGAAAUGGGAAUAAAAUGGAAGUGAAGCAUUGUACCAACUGUUUAUUUAGUGCCUACUAUGCAAUAUGGUGUAGGAUAAACAGCAAAAACAGACAGUUUUGGGGGCGUUGGGGAGGAGAAUAUUAAGUAAUGAUAUUAAUGAGGACAUAAUUAUCCACUGAGAGAAGUGUAGUAAGGUAGGGAAUACUAUUCUAUGAUAGGGUAUAAUAAAAGAUCCUUGAUGCGGGGAGGAGCAACAUACCGAUGGUUAACUGAUGUGAAGAAUCAGAAAUUGGCAAAAAGGUGGGAUGGUGGAGUGGAACAGCGAUCAAGAGACAAAGGCACUGAAGAGGAACCAUCGAUUUUAACAGGAUCCGGUGCAUCAGAGACUAAACCGAACCUAUUCCUACUCUUUUCUUCUUGCUUGAGAAAUGACUUAUGUUGUCUUUAACCUCCUCCCUCCCUCAAACUUGACAUUGUUUUGGAUUUUGGAUGUCUCAGCUUUCCUUUUCUUAAAAACCUGACACUGCUGUUGAACACUAAGCACCUUUUCUCUGUCAUAAUCCUUUUUUCCCAAACUGAGCUCUUCGAUUUUGUUUCUUUUGUCUCGUUUAAGAUGGAAGUUACUGGUUCUUAAUGAUACUAACAUAAUUACUUAUUUGCCUUGUCCAUGUACACAUAUAUACACACAUACAUAUAUGUAAAACAAUAAUAACAAUAUUGCUAAAUAAGUGCUGAAUGAA